CUUUUGCAUUUCAAUUUACACAGAUGAUCAAUGAUCUAGUAACGAUUUCUUGAAGCUCAGAAAAUUAGAAGUUUAUACAGUCCAUUAUAUACUGGUACUGAGUAUAUAUCUCAAUUCUACUUUCCUAUUAUAAAUAUCCUUACAUGUUGGAACGCUCUUAUUUUCAACGCUGCCUUCCUUUUUCCUUCCAUUUGGUGCAUGUUUUAUACAUCCCCCUCCCUGCCAUACUUACUUUAUUGACACAAUGACCUGCGCUCAGAGGAUCUCAUCCUCAUAUUUCCAGCUUCUAUAAUUUUGGUUCAAAAGCUACCAUCAUUUUAUACUGAUCCCACAAAUUACUUACGAGUCCAUAUUUUCCUACGAAGGACGGCUCUUUUAAUCCAACGUGCCCUUCGCCUUAAAAUCGUCCAUUUUACUCUAAUUUGCCCGUGCCAUGCCCGCACUUAGGGGUCUAAUGGUACUAGAGCUUUGGAUCGGUUGAAGGAUUUUUAAGUUGAAACCAUUUUCAGAUGUUUCUUACUACGUUAUGCCAAUGUCAUAAUGGCUAACUCGCCUGCUACUGCGUACAUUAUUGUGGAGUGAUCUCAUCCACAAGUGGAUAGAGAAAAAAAUUUUAUUAAGACACUUUUCAAAAUGUUUGUUCAUUUUCAUUUUCAUUUACUUUUUUCAAAAAAAAAAAAGAUUCAACUUGAAUUAUAGACUUUUGUCAUUUCAAUUCUUGAAGCGCG
RNAcentral lists this small RNA (728 nucleotides) under Histoplasma capsulatum var. duboisii H88. Its description in RNAcentral is "Histoplasma capsulatum H88 hypothetical RNA". Lineage: Eukaryota; Fungi; Ascomycota; Eurotiomycetes; Onygenales; Ajellomycetaceae. The record is from RNAcentral.